RNAcentral lists this ribosomal RNA (460 nucleotides) under uncultured bacterium. Its description in RNAcentral is "partial 16S ribosomal RNA". It matches the Rfam family "Bacterial small subunit ribosomal RNA", at positions 338 to 795 of the family's 1533-position model. The record is from RNAcentral.
CCUACGGGUGGCAGCAGUGAGGAAUAUUGCUCAAUGGACGGAAGUCUGAUCCAGCCAUGCCGCGUGCAGGAAGACGGCCCUAUGAUUUGUAAACUGCUUUUGCACAAGGGAAACCCUUAAUACUUGUAUCCUUCUUCAAGUACUUUACGAGUAAGCAUCGGCUAACGCGGUCCCAGCAGCCGCGGUACUACGGAGGAUCCAAGCGUUAUCCGGAUUUAUUGGGCUUAAGGGGUACGUAGGCGGAUUGUUAAGUUAGAGGUGAAAUUGCCGCGCUUAACUCGGGAACUGCCUCUAAUACUGGUAAGCUAGAGAGUAGAUGAGGUAGGGGGAAUGUAAGGGGUAGCGGUGAAAUGCUUAGAGAUCAUACAGAACACCGAUUGCGAAGGCAGCUUACCGAUCUAUAUCUGACGUUGAGGUACGAAAGCGUGGGGAGCAAACAGGAUUAGAUACCCCAGUAGUC